AGAGUUUGAUCCUGGCUCAGGACGAACGCUGGCGGCGUGCCUAACACAUGCAAGUCGAGCGAUGAAACCUUAACAGAUUCCUUCGGGAUGAAGACUAGGUGGAUUAGCGGCGGACGGGUGAGUAACACGUGAGUAACCUGCCUUUGACACAGGGAUAGCCAUGGGAAACCGUGAUUAAUACCAGAUGAAAUCUAAACUACACAUGUAGCAAAGAUCAAAGCGAAUAAGCGGUCAAAGAUGGACUCGCGUCUGAUUAGCUAGUUGGUGAGAUAAAAGCUCACCAAGGCGACGAUCAGUAGCCGGCCUGAGAGGGUGAACGGCCACAUUGGAACUGAGACACGGUCCAAACUCCUACGGGAGGCAGCAGUGGGGAAUAUUGCACAAUGGGGGGAACCCUGAUGCAGCGACGCCGCGUGAGCGAAGAAGGGAUUCGUUUCGUAAAGCUCUGUCCUAUGGGAAGAUAAUGACGGUACCAUAGAAGAAAGCCCCGGCUAACUACGUGCCAGCAGCCGCGGUAAUAC
Molecule: ribosomal RNA, 521 nt
Filed under: uncultured Peptostreptococcaceae bacterium
Lineage: Bacteria; Bacillati; Bacillota; Clostridia; Peptostreptococcales; Peptostreptococcaceae
Description: bacterial SSU rRNA
Rfam family: Bacterial small subunit ribosomal RNA
Source: RNAcentral